RNAcentral lists this ribosomal RNA (116 nucleotides) under Gammaproteobacteria bacterium. Lineage: Bacteria; Pseudomonadati; Pseudomonadota; Gammaproteobacteria. The record is from RNAcentral.
CCUGGCGACCAUAGCAAGCGGGAACCACCUGAUCCCAUCUCGAACUCAGAAGUGAAAACGCUUUGCGCCGAUGAUAGUGUGGGGCUUCCCCAUGUGAAAGUAGGACAUUGCCAGGC